UACGGGGGGGGCAAGCGUUGUUCGGAAUUACUGGGCGUAAAGGGCUCGUAGGCGGCCAACUAAGUCAGACGUGAAAUCCCUAGGCUCAACCUAGGAACUGCGUCUGAUACUGGAUGGCUUGAAUCCGGGAGAGGGAUGCAGAAUUCCAGGUAUAGCGGUGAAAUGCGUAGAUAUCUGGAGGAAUACCGGUGGCGAAGGCGGCAUCCUGGACCGGCAUUGACGCUGAGGAGCGAAAGCUAGGGGAGCAAACGGG
RNAcentral lists this ribosomal RNA (253 nucleotides) under uncultured bacterium. RNAcentral describes it as "partial 16S ribosomal RNA". It matches the Rfam family "Bacterial small subunit ribosomal RNA", at positions 524 to 776 of the family's 1533-position model. The record is from RNAcentral.